Long non-coding RNA from Mauremys mutica (yellowpond turtle), 970 nucleotides. RefSeq lists it as uncharacterized. NCBI's taxonomy places the organism in Eukaryota, Metazoa, Chordata, Testudines, Geoemydidae. The transcript has 3 exons. The record is from RefSeq and is a predicted model, not a curated record.
AGGGCCAGCAGCCGCAGCAGGGAUGACUCCACAAGGACUGACUGUAUGUACCGGGGGAAAAACUUCUGGGGGCGCCCUGAAAGAAUGGAACAGGGAUGAUGUCAGCUAAAAAGAAUGGGCCCUCAAAAAGUCUGAGCAGUCACGGUGCAGAGCUCCACCCCAACCUCAGGAGCUACAUGAGGAGCCUGUAUAGGAGACAGCCAGGGAGGCCGAGGACCUUGCCAGCACCAUCCUUUGCAUCUGAAGAACAACAGCACCAAAUGAGCUUGAUUUUCCUCCUCCCAGUGACAAAGGGGAAGGAAAAACCUAGGGGGGGAAGAAGAAAGGAAGUUCCCCUCACCACAGCAAUGCAGGACCAGGGAACAUACAGGAGUUUCUGAACCAGCCUUCCCUGGCUGAUGAUAAUAGUCCACCAAACCCAACUGCAGAACCUGCAUUCUGAGAAUGUGCAUUGUAAAUCCAACAACAUGAAGUUUCAGACAGGAAGGUCGUGGUGGAAAGAGAGACAGAUGAGGAAGAGAUGAUGCAUUUUCCCGCCUUUUGGCUAUGUAUUUCUUUAUGAGCUAACACCCACUGGCUUGGUGAAGUUAGUGCAGAAUGUAUGUCAGCAGCUUUGGGGGUGGUAAAUUAUUCUAUAAAAAUGUUGAUGUUUAAACUGUGAAAGAAAAAUCAGUGCAUCUGUACCCGCUGGUCAGCAUAUGUGAUGUGUAGCCCUCAGUGCCCAAUCCACGGAGAAUCCCGGUGCUAGAGAGUCUGGCACUCUCAGUCAAGCUGUGACAACUCAAGCUUUUGGUUCUGUGGUUCAGCCCCUGGUGUGAUGAUCACAUAAUUGGAGUCUUGUCAAGGACUGCUGUGAAAUGAACUUUGAGUUAUAGGUAUAGUUAUAUUAUACCUGCCAUAGGUACAGAUCUGUUACAGAAACUGGCACUUUAGCUCAAGCUGAAGAGAUUAAUGCUUUUCUUUCUGGAAG